UACGUAGGGAGCAAGCGUUGUCCGGAAUCAUUGGGCGUAAAGCGCGCGUAGGUGGCCUCGUAAGUCCGCUGUGAAAGUCGGGGGCUCAACCCUCGAAUGCCGGUGGAUACUGUCGGGCUAGAGUGCGGAAGAGGCGAGUGGAAUUCCUGGUGUAGCGGUGGAAUGCGCAGAUAUCAGGAGGAACACCGAUGGCGAAGGCAGGUCACUGGGCCGCAACUGACGCUGAGGAGCGAAAGCAUGGGGAGCGAACAGG
RNAcentral lists this ribosomal RNA (253 nucleotides) under uncultured bacterium. Its description in RNAcentral is "partial 16S ribosomal RNA". It matches the Rfam family "Bacterial small subunit ribosomal RNA", at positions 524 to 776 of the family's 1533-position model. The record is from RNAcentral.